Molecule: long non-coding RNA, 4416 nt
Organism: Esox lucius (northern pike)
Lineage: Eukaryota; Metazoa; Chordata; Actinopteri; Esociformes; Esocidae
Source: Ensembl
UUGAGUUCAUAUAUAUUUUUUAUUAUGAUUAAGAUAAUCACAUUACACAACAUAAUGAAUAUUGUUUCCUCAUAACUUCGACCAUACCAAAAUAUAGAUCAAAUGUAGGCUACUGGAUAUAAUUUGAGACAUGCUGCAACAUUUUAACAUUACCACAUAACGUACAUGUACUCACGUCAAGUGUUCCUUAAAUCCAAAUGAAUUCAUGUUAACGAGCCAGCCUGUGCCUGUCUCAGAUUGUUUCAUUGUCAGAAUACACCCAAAACUGCUGCGGAUAAUUCAUUUAUUUGGAAUGUUUGUGAACAGUUAUAUCUCGUCCUUGAUCACAAUAUAGAGAAAUUAGAAAAAACGCUUUAUACCGUUUGAACGUUUUUGGAAAACUUACAUGGUCAUUAUAUGAUUCAUAUCUAACACAAUACAUAAUGUUCAUCGGAGUACAAAUCUGUAAAAUAAACGUUUUUGAAAUGCACAAUUACAUGCAAUCAGCUCUGAGUUUCACAAUUUUGACAAAUACAUUCUCAUGUUGAAUUAUAUGUUCACACAGCUUAGAAUUUCUGGUUAAAAUAUAAUUCUACUUUAGAAUGUCAUCUACUAUAGGUUUACAGUAGUGCAAAAGUAAACUUUUCAAGACAAUAUUUUAACAAUAUAUAAGGAUUAUCUUGAGUACCUAUAAUUUCAGCCUAACAGUGGUCUACAACUCCUGGUUUACAGGCCACAUUAAGCCUGCAAGUAACACAAUGUUUGUUAAACUGAUAAGUCCACACAGAGUCAGGAAAAGGCUGGAUCAUUUGAACCUCACCUGAAACCUGCAUUGUGAAUGACAGCUAAGGUAGAGAAUAUGAACUGGAACAGCAAUCUCUAUAGUGGGUGGAAAACAUCCAACUAUUAACCAGAAAGGACCCAAGUAAAUUUGCAGCUGUCUAAAAACAACAAAGGUAAAAAAUAAGGUACUCGUCCCUUGUGUAAAACCUAAAAAGCCUUUACUUUAGUGACUGUUGAAUGGAAACAGUUAAAAACACACCAGCAAGUUGCAGCUGACAUGCUUAUUCAAGGUCCUCUGAUGACAAACAAUUUGUCUUCACAUUCGAUGCCGACACAGCACGCCAUACUGUUGCAUUUGUAAAGCGAGCAGAUGAGAUUGAUUUUGGAAAAUGUAUGCUAUAUAUGUUUGUCUAGAAUAGUUUUAAAUUAACCAAUUAAUCUACACUCCAUGCAAAAAUACAGGUUAUAAAAGAAAGUUUGGCAAGUUAACCUGCAAUAAAGCAUGCUAGAAGACAUGGGAGAUAGGUGUGGUUUUGAGCCAACAUAUUUGUAAUUCUCCUCAAGCUUGAUCCAGUUCAGCUAACUUCAAGCUGAGAUGGUUAACUGAACUGUAAAGGCAACCAGCUGCGUAGGAUUGUGAGUCUUAUCAACAUUUUGUCACUGUUAAACCAACAUACUGAAUUCAUUGUUGCUUUCCCAAGGAAAACAGAAAACAAACUUCUACUUUUCUAAUUUAGUUCGCUUCAAGCAAAGUUUGUUGACUGAAAAAACAAACACAUCAGCUCUAAUUCCUUGCCAUAUUUAGUUCACUCAUAUUACAGAAUAAUGCCAAUUAUGCAAUUAGUUGUUUUUUUAGGAUGUGCAGGACUAUCAGCUCAAAACUGCUGGUGACUGUUAAUAACAUCAGCAGCAAACAUGUUUUAUUUAUUCAUCUGGAUAGAUGCCGUCUCUCCACAAAUCUGUCAACAACUGAAAAUUGCUAGCAAAUCUUUCAAACCAAAAUAUAGCAUUAGGCAGCUGACUGUGCAUGCAGUGGAUGACACAAUUUCCAGACAGUUCAUUUAUCUAAUUUUCUUCUUUCAUUACUCAGAUUGCUUCACCUGCAUUGGCAUACUUUGGCCGCUAGUCUUUGAGCAUAACGCCCAGAACAGCUGUGAUGGGAGAAAGGCCAGUCCUCAAAAUGCUUCUGAAAAUAGUGUGGGGAUCUGUCGCCAGGCGGGAAAGAGAAAAGAAGAGAGAGACAGACACAAGUCAUUGAGAAAGAAAGAGAGAACGUGAGACAGCAAAGAGAAACCAGUGAAGGUCAAAGCCUCCUGUCAUGGCUGCAGGUGGCUCACUCCCCCACUCCGCAGUAACCCAUUCUCUACACAGUACGUUCUCACCCAAACCCAGUCCCUGUCUUUUUCUCCUCUCUGUUCCCCUCCCCUUUUCACACACACACACACACACACACACAAAGACUUCUGUAACUUUUAAUGUGAUAUUUUGAUGUGAGCAUUGGGAAGUUUGAAACCCGCCAUCACACUCAAGUAACAGACAAACUGUAAAGCCCUAAAACCUUUUCUUCUUGUUGUGAAGGUUAAAGAUGAUAGACUGAGAUUUCCUAGGUAAACACUGGUUUUCCUUAUUGAACAGCGCAUUUGAGAGCAUACUAACCAAGUACAACAUUUGGUUAGCAGUGAGAUGAAAGCUUACUUAACUGAAAAAGUUAACAAAUAACCAGAUGCUACUGUUUCAGCAUGCAUAAAAAAAUACUGUAUGAAAAUAGAAUCGAAGUCAUUGCCUUAAAAGUUUACAAGACUUUCCAAAAGUUUCCAUUCAACAGGCAGAAAGAAAUGGAGUUAUAAAAACAAAAAAACUAGAAUAAAACCGAGGGAAACAGAGAAUACAGGGAAGAAAACAGUAAACUAUGAACGUCCCUGGUCCGGCUCUCCUAAAACAGAAUUGUGCUAUGCCAUCCAUCUUUUCCACUGUAUCAUUUGAGCACAGUUUCUAAAUGCUCCCUACAGCUCAAGUGGAAUCUGCUCCAAGGUGCCCGAGCUUUGCGGCGGAAACAUCAUUAAAGCAGUGAAAGAAAUAAAAGGUGGAGAAUGGGGAUGACAUCAGGCCGAUUUCACACUUGGCAUUCGAAUGGCCGGGCCCAAGCCAGGACCCUUGCCAUGCAACACAGAUCAAAGCCCACUAUCGCCACACCAUUGCAAGAAAAAGAAGGCAAAAGAGCACCUCAAUAUGCUAAUCCCCAGGACAAAUAUAUUUUAAUCUCGUUAGAAUACAAGUUAAUGCCACAGCCUGACUGGACUUGGUGGGGAGAACACAAGUGGACAGAUGCACCUUUCACCUUUCUUAACGCGGUACUUCUGUCUGGCACGGCUUGACCAUAGUCAGGUCCAACUUUCCUUGGGUGACCACCUCAAUGCAUUAACAAGCCACACACAAACACACAUACACACACACACACACACACACACACACACACACACACUAACACACACACACAGUGCACAGGCUGUUUUCAUUAUGAACAAUGAUGAGACAAACAGCCAUUCCAGCAGUUGUGUCACUGACCCUGUCUGAAUCCCCACCAGGGCACCUAACAUGCAAAGGAAAUGAGUUAUUUUGUGGUCCAGUUUGUUCCCCCUUGCAUUGAGCCCUUCUCUCCCAAUAGCACCUUGGUAACCCUUGAUCUCUCAUGUAUGGGACUCAGAGCACUGGGGCCUGCAGAAGUUGACUGGGCAGACAAUGAGAAGCGGAUGCAUUCUAAAAAGUCACACAGAAGGCAACUCUCAUUUCACACACUGUGUUGGAGUGACCACUCGGACGGAGAGGCACAGAAUCGUUUUCAUGGCAAUGCUAGAUGUUUUUACGGGGGGUUUCCAUUUCUGUUCAGCUCCUUUUCCUCAUGUGGGAUAUCCAAUGACCUUUUCUGGUAUAGGCCAAACUUCCAAUUUUGUCAUGUAAAGAGCAUUUUCAGUGAAAAAAAAACAGAUCAAGCCAAGAAUCCAUAAACUUGUUGAAUACUAUUCCUGGAAAGAUUUCUCUAAACUAACUCAUGAAAUAAGGUUGCUAGUCUGUUGAUAGAUGCACACCAGAUACCACUGACUUCAAUUGCAGGACAAUUAAGAAAAAAGUAACCAAAAAUAUUUGGUUAUAAGUAAGAUAAUGUUGAGAGACUGGCUGAUCAUGAAAAAAGUAGGAUUAUAUAAAAAGUUGUUAAAUGAUACAUGCUGAUUUCCCUUUAUAAAAUGAAUUCCCUGAACAGACAAACAUUUUUAAGCUGGAAGCUCUGGCAAAAGUACAUGGAGGUGAAAAAAUAUACGCUCACGACAUUAAUUCAUGGUAGUUUGAGUAUUUGACAUUGAAAAUUUGAUUGGUGUAAGAUUGCAAGAAAAUCAGCAGUCCACAAUUUGUUCUGAUAGUUACGUUUCUUGAAUGACAGAGUUGUGAUAUAUUGCACUAAUCUAAACUAAAUUAAUUACGUGACUUCCCUUCAAGAUUUCCUCAUUUUCCAAGUUCAUCAACUAAGGCAUAACAUCAAAUACAAAUUAGCACCAAUUCUCUAAAAUUCCAUAAUUUUAAUGUCAAGGCACAUCUUUCUCUUAGUUUUGAGUGCACAUAUGUACCAUUUAAAAAGCUACAGAAACCAAUAUAAAAAUG